RNAcentral lists this ribosomal RNA (774 nucleotides) under uncultured Neocallimastigales. RNAcentral's name for it is "partial large subunit ribosomal RNA". It matches the Rfam family "Eukaryotic large subunit ribosomal RNA", at positions 18 to 644 of the family's 3401-position model. The record is from RNAcentral. Lineage: Eukaryota; Fungi; Neocallimastigomycota; Neocallimastigomycetes; Neocallimastigales.
UCAGACGAUGCGUCAUGCAUAUCAAUAAGCGGAGGAAAAGAAACUAACAAGGAUUCCCCUAGUAACGGCGAGUGAAGCGGGAAGAGCUCAAAUUUGAAAUCUUAAAGGGUUUCCCUUUACGAAUUGUAGUUUAAAGAAGUGUUUUCUGUUGAGGUUUUGGUAAAAGUUCUUUGGAAUAGGACAUCAUAGAGGGUGAGAAUCCCGUAUUUGACCUUUACUUUCAACUUUGUGAUACACUUUCAAAGAGUCGGAUUGUUUGGGAAUGCAGUCCAAAAUGGGUGGUAAAUUUCAUCUAAAGCUAAAUAUUGGCGAGAGACCGAUAGCGAACAAGUACCGUGAGGGAAAGAUGAAAAGAACUUUGAAAAGAGAGUUAAACAGUACGUGAAAUUGUCAAGAGGGAAGCGUUUGACACCAGUGCUGUUUUUCUGAAAAUCAAUUAAAGAACUGUUUAUGCUAAGCUGUUUAGACUUUAUCAGCUAUCUGUUUAGUUUUGAGCUUUUCUUUAAUGCACUUUUCAGUUAACAAGUCAACAUCAAUUUCUUUUGCUGUAAAAAAGCUUGAGGAAGGUGGCUUGAGAUUCGUCUUAAGUGUUUAUAGCCUCUUGCCUAUGCAGUCGGAGAGAUUGAGGUCUGCAGCGUAGAUCCUUCGGGGCUAAAUGCAUUUGUGCUAAGUUAUAGCAUUUUAUAGACAACUUGUUGACUAUGAUUUGUCUUGUAGCUUACUCGCUUAUGUUAUUUUACCUACGCUUAGGAUGUUGAAUCUGUGCGAGACUAC